UCUUAUGGACAUUCCUACAAUUGUAAUGCACCAUAUCCCAUCAGAACUCCACAAUUAAGCGUGCUUGGGAUAUAGUAGUACUGGGAUGGGUGAUCCCCUAUGAAUUCCUAUUGUUUUACAUGCC
Non-coding RNA from Picea glauca (white spruce), 124 nucleotides. Lineage: Eukaryota; Viridiplantae; Streptophyta; Pinopsida; Pinales; Pinaceae. The record is from Rfam.